Molecule: ribosomal RNA, 1314 nt
Filed under: Escherichia coli
Lineage: Bacteria; Pseudomonadati; Pseudomonadota; Gammaproteobacteria; Enterobacterales; Enterobacteriaceae
Description: partial 23S ribosomal RNA
Rfam family: Bacterial large subunit ribosomal RNA
Source: RNAcentral
GGGACACGUGGUAUCCUGUCUGAAUAUGGGGGGACCAUCCUCCAAGGCUAAAUACUCCUGACUGACCGAUAGUGAACCAGUACCGUGAGGGAAAGGCGAAAAGAACCCCGGCGAGGGGAGUGAAAAAGAACCUGAAACCGUGUACGUACAAGCAGUGGGAGCACGCUUAGGCGUGUGACUGCGUACCUUUUGUAUAAUGGGUCAGCGACUUAUAUUCUGUAGCAAGGUUAACCGAAUAGGGGAGCCGAAGGGAAACCGAGUCUUAACUGGGCGUUAAGUUGCAGGGUAUAGACCCGAAACCCGGUGAUCUAGCCAUGGGCAGGUUGAAGGUUGGGUAACACUAACUGGAGGACCGAACCGACUAAUGUUGAAAAAUUAGCGGAUGACUUGUGGCUGGGGGUGAAAGGCCAAUCAAACCGGGAGAUAGCUGGUUCUCCCCGAAAGCUAUUUAGGUAGCGCCUCGUGAAUUCAUCUCCGGGGGUAGAGCACUGUUUCGGCAAGGGGGUCAUCCCGACUUACCAACCCGAUGCAAACUGCGAAUACCGGAGAAUGUUAUCACGGGAGACACACGGCGGGUGCUAACGUCCGUCGUGAAGAGGGAAACAACCCAGACCGCCAGCUAAGGUCCCAAAGUCAUGGUUAAGUGGGAAACGAUGUGGGAAGGCCCAGACAGCCAGGAUGUUGGCUUAGAAGCAGCCAUCAUUUAAAGAAAGCGUAAUAGCUCACUGGUCGAGUCGGCCUGCGCGGAAGAUGUAACGGGGCUAAACCAUGCACCGAAGCUGCGGCAGCGACGCUUAUGCGUUGUUGGGUAGGGGAGCGUUCUGUAAGCCUGUGAAGGUGUGCUGUGAGGCAUGCUGGAGGUAUCAGAAGUGCGAAUGCUGACAUAAGUAACGAUAAAGCGGGUGAAAAGCCCGCUCGCCGGAAGACCAAGGGUUCCUGUCCAACGUUAAUCGGGGCAGGGUGAGUCGACCCCUAAGGCGAGGCCGAAAGGCGUAGUCGAUGGGAAACAGGUUAAUAUUCCUGUACUUGGUGUUACUGCGAAGGGGGGACGGAGAAGGCUAUGUUGGCCGGGCGACGGUUGUCCCGGUUUAAGCGUGUAGGCUGGUUUUCCAGGCAAAUCCGGAAAAUCAAGGCUGAGGCGUGAUGACGAGGCACUACGGUGCUGAAGCAACAAAUGCCCUGCUUCCAGGAAAAGCCUCUAAGCAUCAGGUAACAUCAAAUCGUACCCCAAACCGACACAGGUGGUCAGGUAGAGAAUACCAAGGCGCUUGAGAGAACUCGGGUGAAGGAACUAGGCAAAAUGGUGCCGUAACU